AGCGGACGACGGUACUAACACUAUCGACGAGUCGAGGGCAGCACGGGGUAGCAAUACCUGGUGGCGACCGGCGCAAGGGUGCGUAACGCGUGAGCAACAUGCCCUAUACAGGGGGAUAAUCCAGGGAAACUUUGGUCUAAUAUCCCAUAGUAUUUAGAGGAGGCAUCUUCUAUAAAUUAAAGCUUCGGUGGUAUAGGAUUGGCUCGCGUGACAUUAGCUAGAUGGUGAGGUAACGGCUCACCAUGGCAAUGAUGUCUAGGGGUUCUGAGAGGAAGGCCCCCCACACUGGGACUGAGACACGGCCCAGACUCCUACGGGAGGCAGCAGUGAGGAAUAUUGGACAAUGGAUGGAAAUCUGAUCCAGCCAUGCCGCGUGCAGGAAGACAGCCCUAUGGGUUGUAAACUGCUUUUAUAUGGGAGCAAUAAGGUCUACGUGUAGACUGAUGAGAGUACCAUAUGAAUAAGCAUCGGCUAACUCCGUG
Molecule: ribosomal RNA, 482 nt
Filed under: uncultured bacterium
Lineage: Bacteria
Description: bacterial SSU rRNA
Rfam family: Bacterial small subunit ribosomal RNA
Source: RNAcentral